GGGCCUGUAGCUCAAUGGCAGAGCGCACGACUCAUAAUCGCAGGGUUCUCGGUUCGAGUCCGGGCGGGCCCACCA
Molecule: transfer RNA, 75 nt
Filed under: Dankookia rubra
Lineage: Bacteria; Pseudomonadati; Pseudomonadota; Alphaproteobacteria; Acetobacterales; Roseomonadaceae
Description: tRNA-Met
Rfam family: tRNA
About the family: Transfer RNA (tRNA) molecules are approximately 80 nucleotides in length. Their secondary structure includes four short double-helical elements and three loops (D, anti-codon, and T loops). Further hydrogen bonds mediate the characteristic L-shaped molecular structure. tRNAs have two regions of fundamental functional importance: the anti-codon, which is responsible for specific mRNA codon recognition, and the 3' end, to which the tRNAs corresponding amino acid is attached (by aminoacyl-tRNA synthetases). tRNAs cope with the degeneracy of the genetic code in two manners: having more than one tRNA (with a specific anti-codon) for a particular amino acid; and 'wobble' base-pairing, i.e. permitting non-standard base-pairing at the 3rd anti-codon position.
Source: RNAcentral